AACGCUAGCUACAGGCUUAACACAUGCAAGUCGAGGGGCAGCAUUGGAGUAGCAAUACUUCAGAUGGCGACCGGCGCACGGGUGAGUAACACGUAUCCAACCUGCCGCUUACUCGGGGAUAGCCUUUCGAAAGAAAGAUUAAUACCCGAUGGUAUAAAGAGUUCGCAUGUUCUCUUUAUUAAAGAAUUUCGGUAAGCGAUGGGGAUGCGUUCCAUUAGAUAGUUGGCGGGGUAACGGCCCACCAAGUCUACGAUGGAUAGGGGUUCUGAGAGGAAGGUCCCCCACACUGGUACUGAGACACGGACCAGACUCCUACGGGAGGCAGCAGUGAGGAAUAUUGGUCAAUGGGCGAGAGCCUGAACCAGCCAAGUCGCGUGAAGGAUGAAGGAUCUAUGGUUUGUAAACUUCUUUUAUACGGGAAUAAAGUUCAGGACGUGUCCUGUUUUGUAUGUACCGUUAUGAAUAAGCAUCGGCUAACUCCGUGCCAGCAGCCGCGGUAAUACGGAGGAUGCGAGCGUUAUCCGGAUUUAUUGGGUUUAAAGGGUGCGUAGGUGGUAGAUUAAGUCAGCGGUGAAAGUUUGUCGCUCAACGAUAAAAUUGCCGUUGAUACUGGUUUACUUGAGUAUAGUUGAAGUAGGCGGAAUGCGUGGUGUAGCGGUGAAAUGCAUAGAUAUCACGAAGAACUCCGAUUG
Molecule: ribosomal RNA, 692 nt
Filed under: uncultured bacterium
Lineage: Bacteria
Description: bacterial SSU rRNA
Rfam family: Bacterial small subunit ribosomal RNA
Source: RNAcentral